GGAGCACCCUUUGGGGUGUGACUGCGUACCUUUUGUAUAAUGGGUCAGCGACUUAUAUUCUGUAGCAAGGUUAACCGUAUAGGGGAGCCGGAGGGAAACCGAGUCUUAACCGGGCGUUAAGUUGCAGGGUAUAGACCCGAAACCCGGUGAUCUAGCCAUGGGCAGGUUGAAGGUUGGGUAACACUAACUGGAGGACCGAACCGACUAAUGUUGAAAAAUUAGCGGAUGACCUGUGGCUGGGGGUGAAAGGCCAAUCAAACCGGGAGAUAGCUGGUUCUCCCCGAAAGCUAUUUAGGUAGCGCCUCGUGAAUUCAUCUCCGGGGGUAGAGCACUGUUUCGGCUAGGGGGCCAUCCCGGCUUACCAACCCGAUGCAAACUGCGAAUACCGGAGAAUGUUAUCACGGGAGACACACGGCGGGUGCUAACGUCCGUCGUGAAGAGGGAAACAACCCAGACCGCCAGCUAAGGUCCCAAAGUCAUGGUUAAGUGGGAAACGAUGUGGGAAGGCCCAGACAGCCAGGAUGUUGGCUUAGAAGCAGCCAUCAUUUAAAGAAAGCGUAAUAGCUCACUGGUCGAGUCGGCCUGCGCGGAAGAUGUAACGGGGCUAAACCAUG
RNAcentral lists this ribosomal RNA (614 nucleotides) under Salmonella enterica. Its description in RNAcentral is "partial 23S ribosomal RNA". It matches the Rfam family "Bacterial large subunit ribosomal RNA", at positions 576 to 1191 of the family's 2925-position model. Lineage: Bacteria; Pseudomonadati; Pseudomonadota; Gammaproteobacteria; Enterobacterales; Enterobacteriaceae. The record is from RNAcentral.